GCAUAUCAAUAAGCGGAGGAAAAGAAACUAACAAGGAUUCCCCUAGUAACGGCGAGUGAAGCGGGAACAGCUCAAAUUUUAAAUCUGGCUGCUUCGCAGUCCGAGUUGUAAUUUGAAGGCGUCUGUCGCAUGUGAGACGAUGGCACAAGUCCUCUGGAACGUGGCAUCGUAGAGGGUGAGAAUCCCGUCUCUGGUCGUUGUCUUGCAGGCACACAACAGGCGAUCCGAAGAGUCGAGUUGUUUGGGAUUGCAGCUCCAAAUGGGUGGUAAACUCCAUCUAAGGCUAAAUAUUGGCGAGAGACCGAUAGCGAACAAGUACCGUGAGGGAAAGAUGAAAAGAACUUUGAAAAGAGAGUAAAACAGUACGUGAAAUUGUUGAAAGGGAAACGCUUGAAGUCAGUCGUGCCGGCGGGGAUUCAGCGAACUUCGCGGAGUGAGCGUAUUUCCUCGCAUGGCAGGUCAGCGUCAGUUUUGCGCGUCGUGAAAGGGCUCGGGUAAGGUGACUCUCCUCGGGGAGUGUUAUAGGCCUGGGCAGAUGCGAUGCGCGGGACUGAGGAUUGCAGCGGACACCCUUCGGGGCGCGGCGACCGAUCCCUGCUCCGUCACCUUCGUCCGAUAGCGUGCUAACGGUCGGGGGAGCGGCGGUUGCACCGGGUUGGCAAGCCGGCGGCUUCGCUAAGGAUGCUGACGUAAUGGCUUUAAACGAC
This 707-nucleotide ribosomal RNA is filed under the name uncultured Paraglomus. RNAcentral describes it as "eukaryotic LSU rRNA". It matches the Rfam family "Eukaryotic large subunit ribosomal RNA", at positions 38 to 648 of the family's 3401-position model. The record is from RNAcentral. Lineage: Eukaryota; Fungi; Glomeromycota; Glomeromycetes; Paraglomerales; Paraglomeraceae.